This 293-nucleotide ribosomal RNA is filed under the name Salmonella enterica subsp. enterica serovar Oranienburg. Its description in RNAcentral is "partial 16S ribosomal RNA". It matches the Rfam family "Bacterial small subunit ribosomal RNA", at positions 678 to 970 of the family's 1533-position model. The record is from RNAcentral. RNAcentral also lists the same sequence under 2 other names. Lineage: Bacteria; Pseudomonadati; Pseudomonadota; Gammaproteobacteria; Enterobacterales; Enterobacteriaceae.
GCGGUGAAAUGCGUAGAGAUCUGGAGGAAUACCGGUGGCGAAGGCGGCCCCCUGGACAAAGACUGACGCUCAGGUGCGAAAGCGUGGGGAGCAAACAGGAUUAGAUACCCUGGUAGUCCACGCCGUAAACGAUGUCUACUUGGAGGUUGUGCCCUUGAGGCGUGGCUUCCGGAGCUAACGCGUUAAGUAGACCGCCUGGGGAGUACGGCCGCAAGGUUAAAACUCAAAUGAAUUGACGGGGGCCCGCACAAGCGGUGGAGCAUGUGGUUUAAUUCGAUGCAACGCGAAGAACC